UACGGGAGGCAGCAGUGGGGAAUAUUGGACAAUGGGCGAAAGCCUGAUCCAGCCAUGCCGCGUGUGUGAAGAAGGUCUUCGGAUUGUAAAGCACUUUAAGUUGGGAGGAAGGGCAGUAAGUUAAUACCUUGCUGUUUUGACGUUACCAACAGAAUAAGCACCGGCUAACUUCGUGCCAGCAGCCGCGGUAAU
Molecule: ribosomal RNA, 192 nt
Filed under: uncultured Pseudomonas sp.
Lineage: Bacteria; Pseudomonadati; Pseudomonadota; Gammaproteobacteria; Pseudomonadales; Pseudomonadaceae
Description: partial 16S ribosomal RNA
Rfam family: Bacterial small subunit ribosomal RNA
Source: RNAcentral